CUGGGGAGUACGGCCGCAAGGCUGAAACUCAAA
Molecule: ribosomal RNA, 33 nt
Filed under: Thermus thermophilus
Lineage: Bacteria; Thermotogati; Deinococcota; Deinococci; Thermales; Thermaceae
Description: 900 STEM-LOOP OF 16S RRNA IN THE 70S RIBOSOME from Thermus thermophilus (PDB 486D, chain G)
Source: RNAcentral